This 718-nucleotide ribosomal RNA is filed under the name uncultured bacterium. RNAcentral describes it as "bacterial SSU rRNA". It matches the Rfam family "Bacterial small subunit ribosomal RNA", at positions 777 to 1507 of the family's 1533-position model. The record is from RNAcentral.
AUUAGAUACCCUGGUAGUCCGCGCGGUAAACGAUGGAUGCCCGCUGUCGGCGAUAUACAGUCGGCGGCCAAGCGAAAGCGUUAAGCAUCCCACCUGGGGAGUACGCCGGCAACGGUGAAACUCAAAGGAAUUGACGGGGGCCCGCACAAGCGGAGGAACAUGUGGUUUAAUUCGAUGAUACGCGAGGAACCUUACCCGGGCUUGAAUUGCAGAGGAAAGAUCCAGAGAUGGUGAUGCCCUUCGGGGCCUCUGUGAAGGUGCUGCAUGGUUGUCGUCAGCUCGUGCCGUGAGGUGUCGGCUUAAGUGCCAUAACGAGCGCAACCCCUUUCCCUAGUUGCCAUCGGUUCUAGCCGGGCACUCUGGGGACACUGCCUCCGCAAGGAGUGAGGAAGGUGGGGAUGACGUCAAAUCAGCACGGCCCUUACGUCCGGGGCUACACACGUGUUACAAUGGGUGAUACAGAGGGCCGGCCGCUGGCAACAUCGGUCCAAUCCUUAAAGUCAUCCUCAGUUCGGACUGGGGUCUGCAACCCGACCCCACGAAGCUGGAUUCGCUAGUAAUCGCGCAUCAGCCAUGGCGCGGUGAAUACGUUCCCGGGCCUUGUACACACCGCCCGUCAAGCCAUGAAAGCCGGGGGCGCCUGAAGUCCGUGACCGCGAGGGUCGGCCUAGGGUGAAACCGGUGAUUGGGGCUAAGUCGUAACAAGGUACCAAGGGCG